RNAcentral lists this ribosomal RNA (1346 nucleotides) under uncultured bacterium. Its description in RNAcentral is "partial 16S ribosomal RNA". It matches the Rfam family "Bacterial small subunit ribosomal RNA", at positions 28 to 1381 of the family's 1533-position model. The record is from RNAcentral.
GACGAACGCUGGCGGCGUGCUUAACACAUGCAAGUCGAACGGAAAGGCCCUGCUUUUGUGGGGUGCUCGAGUGGCGAACGGGUGAGUAACACGUGAGUAACCUGCCCUUGACUUUGGGAUAACUUCAGGAAACUGGGGCUAAUACCGGAUAGGAGCUCCUGCUGCAUGGCGGGGGUUGGAAAGUUUCGGCGGUUGGGGAUGGACUCGCGGCUUAUCAGCUUGUUGGUGGGGUAGUGGCUUACCAAGGCUUUGACGGGUAGCCGGCCUGAGAGGGUGACCGGCCACAUUGGGACUGAGAUACGGCCCAGACUCCUACGGGAGGCAGCAGUGGGGAAUAUUGCACAAUGGGCGGAAGCCUGAUGCAGCAACGCCGCGUGCGGGAUGACGGCCUUCGGGUUGUAAACCGCUUUCGCCUGUGACGAAGCGUGAGUGACGGUAAUGGGUAAAGAAGCACCGGCUAACUACGUGCCAGCAGCCGCGGUGAUACGUAGGGUGCGAGCGUUGUCCGGAUUUAUUGGGCGUAAAGGGCUCGUAGGUGGUUGAUCGCGUCGGAAGUGUAAUCUUGGGGCUUAACCCUGAGCGUGCUUUCGAUACGGGUUGACUUGAGGAAGGUAGGGGAGAAUGGAAUUCCUGGUGGAGCGGUGGAAUGCGCAGAUAUCAGGAGGAACACCAGUGGCGAAGGCGGUUCUCUGGGCCCUUCCUGACGCUGAGGAGCGAAAGCGUGGGGAGCGAACAGGCUUAGAUACCCUGGUAGUCCACGCUGUAAACGGUGGGUACUAGGUGUGGGGUCCAUUCCACGGGUUCCGUGCCGUAGCUAACGCUUUAAGUACCCCGCCUGGGGAGUACGGCCGCAAGGCUAAAACUCAAAGGAAUUGACGGGGCCCCGCACAAGCGGCGGAGCAUGCGGAUUAAUUCGAUGCAACGCGUAGAACCUUACCUGGGUUUGACAUGGAUCGGGAGUGCUCAGAGAUGGGUGUGCCUCUUUUGGGGUCGGUUCACAGGUGGUGCAUGGCUGUCGUCAGCUCGUGUCGUGAGAUGUUGGGUUAAGUCCCGCAACGAGCGCAACCCUUGUUCACUGUUGCCAGCACGUUAUGGUGGGGACUCAGUGGAGACCGCCGGGGUCAACUCGGAGGAAGGUGGGGAUGACGUCAAGUCAUCAUGCCCCUUAUGUCCAGGGCUUCACGCAUGCUACAAUGGCUGGUACAGAGAGUGGCGAGCCUGUGAGGGUGAGCGAAUCUCGGAAAGCCGGUCUCAGUUCGGAUUGGGGUCUGCAACUCGACCUCAUGAAGUCGGAGUCGCUAGUAAUCGUAGAUCAGCAACGCUGCGGUGAAUACGUUCCCGGGGCU